UGUAGCGCCUCAAGUGGCCUAAUAAUGUAAAUCGCGUCAGGUGCUUAAGCACUAUUGAUUACGCGGCAGAAGAACAUACAAGAGUAACGUCCCAUCUCUUGACUGAGAAAGAUGCCGAAGAAAGGCAGCGACACGAAGCCCGUUAUUACAGCUCCACGAUGGGAAGAAGUUCAAGAUUUCUGCAACCCUGACAAACUGCUGUUGUGCCCCUAUGACCCACAUCAUCUGAUCCGGGCCUGUCGGUUCCCAUACCAUCUCAUCAAAUGCAGGAAGGUGCGUG
This is a long non-coding RNA of Sinocyclocheilus grahami, 280 nucleotides long. RefSeq lists it as uncharacterized. The record is from RefSeq and is a predicted model, not a curated record. NCBI's taxonomy places the organism in Eukaryota, Metazoa, Chordata, Actinopteri, Cypriniformes, Cyprinidae. The transcript has 3 exons.